CCUACGGGAGGCAGCAGUAGGGAAUAUUGGACAAUGGGGGGAACCCUGAUCCAGCGACGCCGCGUGAGUGAAGAAGUAUUUCGGUAUGUAAAGCUCUAUCAGCAGGGAAGAAAAUGACGGUACCUGACUAAGAAGCCCCGGCUAACUACGUGCCAGCAGCCGCGGUAAUAAGUAGGGGGCAAGCGUUAUCCGGAUUGACUGGGUGUAAAGGGAGCGUAGACGGUGCAGCAAGUCUGAUGGGAAAGGUCGGGGGCCAACCCCGGGACUGUAUUGGAAACUGUUGAACUGGAGUACAGGAGAGGUAAGCGGAAUUCCUAGUGUAGCGGUGAAAUGCGUAGAUAUUAGGAGGAACACCAGUGGCGAAGGCGGCUUACUGGACUGUAACUGACGUUGAGGCUCGAAAGCGUGGGGAGCAAACAGGAUUAGAUACCCCAGUAGUC
RNAcentral lists this ribosomal RNA (440 nucleotides) under uncultured bacterium. RNAcentral's name for it is "partial 16S ribosomal RNA". It matches the Rfam family "Bacterial small subunit ribosomal RNA", at positions 338 to 795 of the family's 1533-position model. The record is from RNAcentral.